Molecule: ribosomal RNA, 914 nt
Filed under: uncultured Chlamydiae bacterium
Lineage: Bacteria; Pseudomonadati; Chlamydiota; Chlamydiia
Description: bacterial SSU rRNA
Rfam family: Bacterial small subunit ribosomal RNA
Source: RNAcentral
UGGCGGAGGGUUAGUAAUACAUGGGUAAUCUGCCUUUAACUCUGGAAUAACGGCUGGAAACGGCCGCUAAUGCCGGAUGUGGUGAUAAGUAGGCAUCUACAGAUCAUUAAAGUUUGGGAUCGAGAGAUCGACCUUUCGGUUAAAGAGGGGCCCAUGGGUUAUCAGCUUGUUGGUGGGGUAACGGCCCACCAAGGCUAAGACGUCUAGGCGAGUUGAGAGAUUGACCGCCAACACUGGGACUGAGACACUGCCCAGACUCCUACGGGAGGCUGCAGUCGAGAAUAUUUCGCAAUGGGCGCAAGCCUGACGAAGCGACGCCGUGUGAGUAAAGAAGGCCUUCGGGUCGUAAAGCUCUUUCGCCUGGGAACAAGAGAAGGCGGUUAAUAUCCGCUUGAUUUGAGCGUACCAGGUAAAGAAGCACCGGCUAACUCCGUGCCAGCAGCUGCGGUAAUACGGAGGGUGCAAGCAUUAAUCGGAUUUAUUGGGCGUAAAGGGGGCGCAGGCGGAUGUGUAAGCCAGACGUGAAAUCCCGGGGCUCAACCCCGGAACUGCAUUUGGAACUACACAUCUAGAGGAUAGGCGGAGAAACCGGAAUUCCACAUGUAGCGGUGAAAUGCGUAGAUAUGUGGAAGAACACCGGUGGCGAAGGCGGUUUUCUAGCUUAUUCCUGACGCUGAGGCCCGAAAGCUAGGGGAGCGAACAGGAUUAGAUACCCUGGUAGUCCUAGCCGUAAACGAUGCAUACUUGGUGUAGUCGGACUCAACCCCGACUGUGCCGUAGCCAACGCGUUAAGUAUGCCGCCUGGGGAGUACGCUCGCAAGGGUGAAACUCAAAAGAAUUGACGGGGACCCGCACAAGCAGUGGAGCAUGUGGUUUAAUUCGAUGCAACGCGAAGAACCUUACCCAGGCUUGAC